GAUGAAGAACGAAGUGAAAUGCGAUAAGUAAUGUGAAUUGCAGAAUUCAGUGAAUCAUCGAAUCUUUGAACGCACAUUGCGCCCGCCAGUAUUCUGGCGAGCAUGCCUGUUCGAGCGUCAUUUCAACCAUCAAGCCCCAGGCUUGUGUUGGAGCCCUGCGGCUGCCGCAGCCUCCCAAAACCAGUGGCGGGCUCGCUAUCACACCGAGUGCAGUAGUUUACUCUUCGCUCAGGGCGUGUGGCGGGUGCUAGCCGUGAAACCCCCAACUUCUCAAGGUUGACCUCGGAUCAGGUAGGAAUACCCGCUGAACUUAAGCAUAUCAAUAAGCGGAGGA
Molecule: unclassified non-coding RNA, 334 nt
Filed under: soil metagenome
Description: partial contains 5.8S ribosomal RNA, internal transcribed spacer 2, and large subunit ribosomal RNA
Rfam family: 5.8S ribosomal RNA (bases 1-120)
Source: RNAcentral